Molecule: transfer RNA, 55 nt
Filed under: Tyrophagus longior
Lineage: Eukaryota; Metazoa; Arthropoda; Arachnida; Sarcoptiformes; Acaridae
Description: tRNA-Asn
Source: RNAcentral
CCAAAUAUAGUUAUAUUAUAAUAUCGCUUUGUUAAUGUGAAGUAUUGGUUUUGGC